AAGCAGCGGAGCGUGUGGUUAAUUCGAUGCAACGCGAAGAACCUUACCAGGGUUUGACAUGCUUAAAGUAGGAACUCGAAAGAGGGACGACCUGUAUCCAGUCAGGAGUUUGCACAGGUGCUGCAUGGCUGUCGUCAGCUCGUGCCGUGAGGUGUUAGGUUAAGUCCUGCAACGAGCGCAACCCUCGUCGCUAGUUGUUUUCUCUAGCGAUACUGCCCGUAUAACGUGGAGGAAGGUGGGGAUGACGUCAAGUCAGCAUGGCCCUUACAUCCUGGGCUACACACACGCUACAAUGGGUGAUACAACAGGUUGCAAUAGAGUAAUCUGGAGCCAAUCCCUAAAAUCAUCCUCAGUACGGAUUGCAGGCUGCAACUGCCUGCAUGAAGUUGGAGUUGCUAGUAAACGCAGGUCAGCACACUGCGUUGAAUACGUUCUCGGGCCUU
This 443-nucleotide ribosomal RNA is filed under the name uncultured Chloroflexota bacterium. Its description in RNAcentral is "bacterial SSU rRNA". It matches the Rfam family "Bacterial small subunit ribosomal RNA", at positions 927 to 1382 of the family's 1533-position model. Lineage: Bacteria; Bacillati; Chloroflexota. The record is from RNAcentral.